UUAUGAAGUUUUGAAAAUCGCCAGUGUAGUAUUCGAGAAACUGAAUUUCAGCUUUCCAAAGGCUAAAAUGCAAUUUAAAAGGCUGAAAUUCAGUUUCUCGAAAACUGCACUGGCGAUUUUCAAAUAACUU
Molecule: microRNA precursor, 130 nt
Filed under: Paramuricea clavata
Lineage: Eukaryota; Metazoa; Cnidaria; Anthozoa; Malacalcyonacea; Plexauridae
Source: RNAcentral